GCAGGGGAUCGCAAGACCUUGCGCUUUUGGAGCGGCCGAUGCCUGAUUAGCUUGUUGGUGAGGUAAAGGCUUACCAAGGCUUCGAUCAGUAGCUGGUCUGAGAGGACGGCCAGCCACACUGGGACUGAGACACGGCCCAGACUCCUAUGGGAGGCAGCAGUGGGGAAUUUUGGACAAUGGGGGCAACCCUGAUCCAGCCAUGCCGCGUGAGUGAAGAAGGCCUUCGGGUUGUAAAGCUCUUUCAGCCGGAACGAAACGGUUACGGUUAAUACCCGUAACUACUGACGGUACCGGAAGAAGAAGCACCGGCUAACUACGUGCCAGCAGCCGCGGUAAUACGUAGGGUGCGAGCGUUAAUCGGAAUUACUGGGCGUAAAGCGUGCGCAGGUGGUUUUGUAAGUCAGAUGUGAAAUCCCCGGGCUUAACCUGGGAACUGCGUUUGAAACUACAAGACUAGAGUGUAGCAGAGGGGGGUGGAAUUCCAUGUGUAGCAGUGAAAUGCGUAGAGAUAUGGAAGAACACCGAUGGCGAAGGCAGCCCCCUGGGUUAACACUGACGCUCAGGCACGAAAGCGGGGGGAGCAAACAGGAUUAGAUACCCUGGUAGUCCACGCCCUAAACGAUGUCAACUAGUUGUCGGGUCUUAAUAGACUUGGUAACGUAGCUAACGCGUGAAGUUGACCGCCUGGGGAGUACGGUCGCAAGAU
RNAcentral lists this ribosomal RNA (706 nucleotides) under uncultured bacterium. RNAcentral describes it as "bacterial SSU rRNA". It matches the Rfam family "Bacterial small subunit ribosomal RNA", at positions 196 to 894 of the family's 1533-position model. The record is from RNAcentral.